This 64-nucleotide transfer RNA is filed under the name Dromaeolus sp. ZM-2022. RNAcentral describes it as "tRNA-Phe". Lineage: Eukaryota; Metazoa; Arthropoda; Insecta; Coleoptera; Eucnemidae. The record is from RNAcentral.
AUUUAAAUAGCUUAUUAGAGCACAAUAUUGAAGAUAUUGGGGAGAUAAAAAUUAUCUUUAAAUA